Molecule: ribosomal RNA, 415 nt
Filed under: uncultured bacterium
Lineage: Bacteria
Description: bacterial SSU rRNA
Rfam family: Bacterial small subunit ribosomal RNA
Source: RNAcentral
GACGAACGCUGGCGGCGUGCUUAAUACAUGCAAGUCAACUGAACUUAAGAUAGCAAUAUUUUAAGGGAGGUGGCGCACGGGUGAGUAACACGUAGGUAAUCUGCCUUUAGGUCUGACAUAACCUACCGAAAGGUAGGCUAAAAUCAGAUGAUGCAGCGGCUCGACAUCGAGACAGUUGUUAAAUCUUCGGAGCCUAGAGAUGAGCCUGCGUCUGAUUAGGUAGUUGGCGGAGUAAUAGCCCACCAAGCCUGCGAUCAGUAGCUGGUCUGAGAGGAUGAUCAGCCACACUGGAACUGAGACACGGUCCAGACUCCUACGGGAGGCAGCAGUAAGGAAUAUUGCUCAAUGGCCGAAAGGCUGAAGCAGCAACGCCGCGUGGAGGAUGAAAUAACUUUUGUUAUAGUAAACUACCUCG